This 422-nucleotide ribosomal RNA is filed under the name uncultured Chitinophaga sp. Its description in RNAcentral is "bacterial SSU rRNA". It matches the Rfam family "Bacterial small subunit ribosomal RNA", at positions 355 to 774 of the family's 1533-position model. Lineage: Bacteria; Pseudomonadati; Bacteroidota; Chitinophagia; Chitinophagales; Chitinophagaceae. The record is from RNAcentral.
UAAGGAAUAUUGGUCAAUGGACGCAAGUCUGAACCAGCCAUGCCGCGUGGAGGAUGAAGGCCCUCUGGGUUGUAAACUUCUUUUAUUUGGGACGAAACACUUCUUUUCUAGGAAGCUUGACGGUACCAGAUGAAUAAGCACCGGCUAACUCCGUGCCAGCAGCCGCGGUAAUACGGAGGGUGCAAGCGUUAUCCGGAUUCACUGGGUUUAAAGGGUGCGUAGGCGGACAUGUAAGUCCGUGGUGAAAUCUCUAAGCUUAACUUGGAAACUGCCAUGGAUACUAUAUGUCUUGAAUGUUGUGGAGGUUAGCGGAAUAUGUCAUGUAGCGGUGAAAUGCAUAGAUAUGACAUAGAACACCAAUUGCGAAGGCAGCUGGCUACACAAAUAUUGACGCUGAGGCACGAAAGCGUGGGGAUCAAACA